RNAcentral lists this ribosomal RNA (460 nucleotides) under uncultured bacterium. Its description in RNAcentral is "partial 16S ribosomal RNA". It matches the Rfam family "Bacterial small subunit ribosomal RNA", at positions 338 to 795 of the family's 1533-position model. The record is from RNAcentral.
CCUACGGGAGGCAGCAGUGAGGAAUAUUGGGCAAUGGGCGCGAGCCUGAACCAGCCAAGUAGCGUGAAGGAUGACUGCCCUACGGGUGGUAAACUUCUUUUAUAAAGGAGUAAAGUGAGGCACGUGUGCCUUUUUGUAUGUACUUUAUGAAUAAGGAUCGGCUAACUCCGUGCCAGCAGCCGCGGUAAUACGGAGGAUCCGGGCGUUAUCCGGAUUGAUUGGGUUUAAAGGGAGCGUAGAUGGGUUGUUAAGUCAGUUGUGAAAGUUUGCGGCUCAACCGUAAGAUUGCAAUUGAUACUGGCAGUCUUGAGUACAGUUGAGGUAGGCGGAAUUCGUGGUGUAGCGGUGAAAUGCUCAGAUAUCACGAAGAACCCCGAUUGCGAAGGCAGCUUACUAAGCUGUGACUGACAUUGAUGCUCGAAAGUGUGGGUAUCAAACAGGAUUAGAUACCCUUGUAGUC